This is a long non-coding RNA of Daphnia pulex (common water flea), 1200 nucleotides long. RefSeq lists it as uncharacterized. The transcript has 6 exons. Lineage: Eukaryota; Metazoa; Arthropoda; Branchiopoda; Diplostraca; Daphniidae. The record is from RefSeq and is a predicted model, not a curated record.
AUUAUCAAAGGAAAAUCAUUUCAGGAACUUCAGCAUGUUCUUCAGUAUAUUGAAACAGUGCCAACCCACCUGUGCCAAACUACAUGUUUACAACUGAUAAUUCUUAAUCACCCAGAUGCAGAAAAGUUUAAUCUUUAAACUGAAUUUGUUCUACAGGAGUAAAUGUAGCAUGGAUCAACUUCCAGUGACCAACUUGUGGCUAGAGUCGAUACUUACAAGGGUAUUAGUUGCAAUGCUUCCUGACAUGGCAAAUUAUUCCAUAGCAGAAAAAGAUGCUAUGUGUCGAAAAGCUAAAGUGUUUUUCCACUGUGAUGGAGCCAAAGCUGUAGGUAAAAUUCCAAUUGAUGUUGAAUCGAUGUCAAUUGAUUUAUAAAGGUGUUGGUGCUCUUUACGUGAUAGGCCGACCACGGGUUAGGAUUGAAGCUCUGCAAAGUGGAGGUGGUCAGGAAUGAGGGAUACGUAGUGGAAGUUCCUACUCCACUGACAGAUUGACAGUUAGUUUUGGCGCAGCAUGUGAAGUAGCUCAGCAAGAACUUAAGUAUAAUCACGCCAGAUUAGUAAACUAUCGCAACGCUUGAUCGAUCAGAUUGGUAAUAGUUUAACACAUGUCGUACGAAAUUGAGAUCCUGAACACUCCUACCCAGGUUGUGUAAACCUUUCUUUCGCCUACGUCGAGGGAGAAAGUCUUUUCAUGGCCCUGAAAGACGUGGCACUCUCAAGCGGAAGUGCUUGCACCUCAGCAUUGCUGGAACCUUCAUAUAUAUUUUGCGUACCAUUGGCGCUGAAGAUUUUGCGCAUUCUUCUAUUCGAUUUGGAAUCCGAAGCUGAGGUUGAUUACACGGCAGAAAAGUGUAUUCAUCAAGUAUCACCAAACUUCGAGAAAUGAGGUAUAUGGGACCGGGUUUGGAAUGCCCCGACAAAAAGUUUAUUUCACUUCCGCUAAAAAUGUUAAUUUGUCCUUCUUCCUUAUUUCUUAUUUGUUUAUUUUUGUCGAAAUGAAAAUUUAUAAAUGUACAACGGUUUUCUUUUUUUAAAUUAUGAUCAGUGUUUAAAAAAAGUAGAAGAGAUACAGAGUACAAUAAAAUAAAAAAUAACGACAAGAAAAUGAAGCACAAGAACAAGACUGCCUAAUUACAAAAUUCUUUCAAGAUAGCUCUGUCACUUAGCCGAAGGCCAACGCUUGCAACGCGAGCCCUAGUU